GGGGUGUAGCUCAGCUGGCCAGAGCACAGGUCUCCAAAACCUGGUGUCGGGGGUUCAAGUCCCUCCACCGCCACCA
RNAcentral lists this transfer RNA (76 nucleotides) under Anaerolineae bacterium. RNAcentral describes it as "tRNA-Trp". It matches the Rfam family "tRNA". From Rfam's summary of the family: Transfer RNA (tRNA) molecules are approximately 80 nucleotides in length. Lineage: Bacteria; Bacillati; Chloroflexota; Anaerolineae. The record is from RNAcentral.